AGCAGCCGCGGUAAUUCCAGCUCCAAUAGCGUACAUUAAAGUUGUUGCAGUUAAAAAGCUCGUAGUUGAAUUUCGGGGUUAGUAGGUUGGUCAUGCCUCUGGUAUGUACUGGUCUCACUGAUUCCUCCUUCCUGAUGAACCUUAAUGCCAUUAAUUUGGUGUUUUGGGGAAUUUGGACUGUUACUUUGAAAAAAUUAGAGUGUUUAAAGCAAGCUAACGCUUGAAUACAUUAGCAUGGAAUAAUGAAAUAGGACGUUCGAUCCUAUUUUGUUGGUUUCUAGGAUUGACGUAAUGAUUAAUAGGGAUAGUUGGGGGCAUUAGUAUUCAAUUGUCAGAGGUGAAAUUCUUGGAUUUAUUGAAGACUAACUACUGCGAAAGCAUUUGCCAAGGAUGUUUUCAUUAAUCAAGAACGAAAGUUAGGGGAUCGAAGACGAUCAGAUACCGUCGUAGUCUUGACCAUAAACUAUGCCGACUAGGGAUCGGAUGAUGUUAAUUUUUUAAUGACUCA
RNAcentral lists this ribosomal RNA (508 nucleotides) under uncultured glomeraceous AM fungus. RNAcentral describes it as "SSU rRNA". It matches the Rfam family "Eukaryotic small subunit ribosomal RNA", at positions 569 to 1078 of the family's 1831-position model. Lineage: Eukaryota; Fungi; Glomeromycota; Glomeromycetes; Glomerales; Glomeraceae. The record is from RNAcentral.